UACGAAGGGGGCUAGCGUUGUUCGGAAUCACUGGGCGUAAAGGGCGCGUAGGCGGCCGAUCAAGUCGGGGGUGAAAGCCUGUGGCUCAACCACAGAAUUGCCUUCGAUACUGUUUGGCUUGAGACCGGAAGAGGUUAGUGGAACUGCGAGUGUAGAGGUGAAAUUCGUAGAUAUUCGGAAGAACACCAGUGGCGAAGGCGGCUCACUGGACUGGUAUUGACGCUGAGGUGCGAAAGCGUGGGGAGCAAACAGG
RNAcentral lists this ribosomal RNA (253 nucleotides) under uncultured bacterium. Its description in RNAcentral is "partial 16S ribosomal RNA". It matches the Rfam family "Bacterial small subunit ribosomal RNA", at positions 524 to 776 of the family's 1533-position model. The record is from RNAcentral.